GACGAACGCUGGCGGCGUGCUUAACACAUGCAAGUCGAACGGAAAGGCCCUGCUUUUGUGGGGUGCUCGAGUGGCGAACGGGUGAGUAACACGUGAGUAACCUGCCCUUGACUUUGGGAUAACUUCAGGAAACUGGGGCUAAUACCGGAUAGGAGCUCCUGCUGCAUGGUGGGGGUUGGAAAGUUUCGGCGGUUGGGGACGGACUCGCGGCUUAUCAGCUUGUUGGUGGGGUAGUGGCUUACCAAGGCUUUGACGGGUAGCCGGCCUGAGAGGGUGACCGGCCACAUUGGGACUGAGAUACGGAGCAGACGCCAACGGGAGGCAGCAGUGGGGAAUAUUGCACAAUGGGCGGAAGCGUGAUGCAGAAACGCCGGGUGCGGGAUGACGGCCUUCGGGUUGUAAACCGCUUUCGCCUGUGACGAAGCGUGAGUGACGGUAAUGGGUAAAGAAGCACCGGCUAACUACGUG
Molecule: ribosomal RNA, 468 nt
Filed under: uncultured bacterium
Lineage: Bacteria
Description: partial 16S ribosomal RNA
Rfam family: Bacterial small subunit ribosomal RNA
Source: RNAcentral